GAUGAACGCUGGCGGCGUGCUUAACACAUGCAAGUCGAACGAAGCACUUUAUUUGAUUUCCUUCGGGACUGAUUAUUUUGUGACUGAGUGGCGGACGGGUGAGUAACGCGUGGGUAACCUGCCUUGUACAGGGGGAUAACAGUUGGAAACGGCUUCUAAUACCGCAUAAGCGCACGGCAUCGCAUGAUGCAGUGUGAAAAACUCCGGUGGUAUAAGAUGGACCCGCGUUGGAUUAUCUAGUUGGUGAGGUAACGGCCCACCAAGGCGACGAUCCAUAGCCGACCUGAGAGGGUGACCGGCCACAUUGGGACUGAGACACGGCCCAAACUCCUACGGGAGGCAGCAGUGGGGAAUAUUGCUCAAUGGGCGAAAGCCUGAUGCAGCGACGCCGCGUGAGCGAAGAAGUAUUUCGGUAUGUAAAGCUCUAUCAGCAGGGAAGAUAAUGACGGUACCUGACUAAGAAGCACCGGCUAAAUACGUG
RNAcentral lists this ribosomal RNA (481 nucleotides) under uncultured bacterium. RNAcentral's name for it is "partial 16S ribosomal RNA". It matches the Rfam family "Bacterial small subunit ribosomal RNA", at positions 28 to 507 of the family's 1533-position model. The record is from RNAcentral.